Molecule: transfer RNA, 75 nt
Organism: Tritrichomonas foetus
Lineage: Eukaryota; Parabasalia; Tritrichomonadida; Tritrichomonadidae
Rfam family: tRNA
About the family: Transfer RNA (tRNA) molecules are approximately 80 nucleotides in length.
Source: Rfam
AGUUCUGUGGACCGAGUGGUCGAAGGCAGCUGACUAAGUAUCAGUUUAUCAUGGGUUCGAAUCCCAUCAGAACUA